RNAcentral lists this ribosomal RNA (305 nucleotides) under uncultured bacterium. Its description in RNAcentral is "bacterial SSU rRNA". It matches the Rfam family "Bacterial small subunit ribosomal RNA", at positions 333 to 655 of the family's 1533-position model. The record is from RNAcentral.
UGAGUCCUACGGGACGCAGCAGUGGGGGAUAUUGCACAAUGGGGGGAACCCUGAUGCAGCGACGCCGCGUGGGCGAUGGAGUGCUUCGGCAUGUAAAGCCCUAUCAGCAGGGAAGAAAAUGACGGUACCUGACUAAGAAGCCCCGGCUAAAUACGUGCCAGCAGCCGCGGGAAUACGUAUGGGGCAAGCGUUAUCCGGAUUUACUGGGUGUAAAGGGAGCGUAGGCGGCCUGGCAAGCCUGAUGUGAAAUACCGGUGCCCAACCCCGGGGCUGCAUUGGGAACUGCCAGGCUGGAGUGCCGGAGG